This 436-nucleotide ribosomal RNA is filed under the name uncultured bacterium. RNAcentral describes it as "partial 16S ribosomal RNA". It matches the Rfam family "Bacterial small subunit ribosomal RNA", at positions 27 to 507 of the family's 1533-position model. The record is from RNAcentral.
GAGCGAACGCUGGCGGCAGGCUUAACACAUGCAAGUCGAGCGGGCACUUUCGGGUGUCCGCGGCGGACGGGUGAGUAACGCGUGGGAACGUGCCCUCUGGUUCGGAAUAACUCAGGGAAACUUGAGCUAAUACCGGAUACGCCCUUUUGGGGAAAGGCUUGCUGCCGGAGGCUCGGCCCGCGUCUGAUUAGCUAGUUGGUGAGGUAACGGCUCACCAAGGCGACGAUCAGUAGCUGGUCUGAGAGGAUGAUCAGCCACACUGGGACUGAGACACGGCCCAGACUCCUACGGGAGGCAGCAGUGGGGAAUAUUGGACAAUGGGCGCAAGCCUGAUCCAGCCAUGCCGCGUGAGUGAUCAAGGCCUUAGGGUUGUAAAGCUCUUUUAUCCGGGACGAUAAUGACGGUACCGGAGGAAUAAGCCCCGGCUAACUUCGUG